This 77-nucleotide transfer RNA is filed under the name Bacteroidota bacterium. Its description in RNAcentral is "Bacteroidetes bacterium tRNA-Pro". It matches the Rfam family "tRNA". From Rfam's summary of the family: Transfer RNA (tRNA) molecules are approximately 80 nucleotides in length. The record is from RNAcentral. Lineage: Bacteria; Pseudomonadati; Bacteroidota.
CGGGUGGUGGCGCAGCCCGGUAGCGCAUUUGCAUGGGGUGCAAGAGGUCGCUGGUUCGAAUCCAGUCCACCCGACAA